CACAGCAGGCCGAGCACAGCAGGCUGCCGAGCACAGCAGGCUGCCGAGCACAGAAGGCCGAGCACAGAAGACCGAGACCAGAGAGCCGAGACCAGAAGGCCGAGACCAGAGAGCGCCGACCAGAAAGGCAACCCCGCCGAGCCCAUGCCUUAGCCAAAUAUCCAAUCUCCGCCUAACCCUCCAAAGGAUCUGACAACUAAAUAUAUGACUCCACUUCAAUCUGCCACCAUCCCCAAGUCAUUAAGGCACAAGAUCUCCGCAUGCAUUCGGCACACCCUAUCAUUAAUGCAUGAGACCCCCUCAGGCCUCCAAUGCACUCAGUCAUUAAAUGAACACGGCUCAAGAUGAUCUCCGGAUCAUUGAACCAUCAAAGCGUACGGCUCUUUCUGACCACCGGUUCA
This 401-nucleotide long non-coding RNA is filed under the name Phoenix dactylifera (date palm). RNAcentral's name for it is "long non-coding RNA (PDAC_LNC018502)". Lineage: Eukaryota; Viridiplantae; Streptophyta; Magnoliopsida; Arecales; Arecaceae. The record is from RNAcentral.